Molecule: ribosomal RNA, 391 nt
Filed under: uncultured bacterium
Lineage: Bacteria
Description: bacterial SSU rRNA
Rfam family: Bacterial small subunit ribosomal RNA
Source: RNAcentral
GACGAACGCUGGCGGCGUGCUUAACACAUGCAAGUCGAGCGGUAAGGCCCUUUCGGGGGUACACGAGCGGCGAACGGGUGAGUAACACGUGGGUGACCUGCCCUCAGCUCUGGGAUAAGCCUGGGAAACCGGGUCUAAUACUGGAUAUGACUCCAUGACGCAUGUUGUGGGGUGGAAAGCCUUGUGCGGCUGAGGAUGGGCCCGCGGCCUAUCAGCUUGUUGGUGGGGUGAUGGCCUACCAAGGCGACGACGGGUAGCCGGCCUGAGAGGGCGACCGGCCACACUGGGACUGAGACACGGCCCAGACUCCUACGGGAGGCAGCAGUGGGGAAUCUUGCGCAAAUGGGCGAAAAGCCUGACGCAGCGACGCCGCGUGAGGGAUGAACGGCCU